RNAcentral lists this transfer RNA (82 nucleotides) under Daphnia pulicaria. RNAcentral describes it as "tRNA-Ser". It matches the Rfam family "tRNA". From Rfam's summary of the family: Transfer RNA (tRNA) molecules are approximately 80 nucleotides in length. Their secondary structure includes four short double-helical elements and three loops (D, anti-codon, and T loops). The record is from RNAcentral. Lineage: Eukaryota; Metazoa; Arthropoda; Branchiopoda; Diplostraca; Daphniidae.
GGAGAUAUGGCCGAGUGGUUAAGGCGACUGACUCGAAAUCAGUUUCCAUCUUGGAGCGUAGGUUCGAAUCCUACUAUCUGCG